Long non-coding RNA from Eptesicus fuscus (big brown bat), 731 nucleotides. RefSeq lists it as uncharacterized. The transcript has 3 exons. NCBI's taxonomy places the organism in Eukaryota, Metazoa, Chordata, Mammalia, Chiroptera, Vespertilionidae. The record is from RefSeq and is a predicted model, not a curated record.
GCGACUCGGACCUGGGCACCGGCCAGCGCGGCGCGGCUGAGGGGCUGCCCGGCCCGGCCUCCGCCUCCGCCCGACUCCUCCCGCCCCAAUCGGGCUGCGCGGCGCGGGCCCCACGGCGGCGAGCGGGGCUGGACCCCGGACCCCGGACCCCGGACCCCGGCCCAGGGCCCCUCCUCCGGCCCGGGGAGCACCGCUCGGCCCGGCUUCCCGCGACCCGGGCCUCGUCCUGUGAGGCGCCGCGGGGCAGGCCCGAGGCCUCCGCCGGGCCCGAGUCGCCCACUAGGGGGCCGGGCGCGCCUCCGGGGCCCGGACGGCGCCGACAGGAAGCGGGUCCCCGCGGGACUUGGGGCUCGCGCGGGCCUGGAGAUCUCCUGUGGUACCUCCCAGUGGCUGAACCCAAGAGGAAGGCUAAGGGCACGUGAGCCCAGGUGAUGCUGUCCUUCAAGGUCAGCCCUGGAGAAGGUUGGAGAGUGGAUCUGGAUGAACAAAGGCAGAAUUAUCCAGCAGGUGACUUCAAAAUCUCUGCAUGAAGAACAGACCUCAGCCCUAACCGGUUUGGCUCAGUGGAUAGAGCGUCGGCCUGCGGACUGAAGGGUCCCAGGUUCGAUUCCAGUCAAGGGCAUGUACCUUGGUUGCGGGCACAUCCCCAGUAGGGGAUGUGCAGGAGGCAGCUGAUCGAUUUCCCCUCUCAUCGAUGUUUCUAACUCUAUCCCUCUACCUUCCUCCCUGUA